GAUGAACGCUGGCGGCGUGCCUAAUACAUGCAAGUCGAGCGGCAGCGCGAGUAGUUUACUACUUGGCGGCGAGCGGCGGACGGCUGAGUAACGCGUGGGAAUCUGCCCCAAAGUGAGGGAUAAGCACCAGAAAUGGUGUCUAAUACCGCAUAUGAUCUUCGGAUUAAAGCUUUCGAGCGCUUUGGGAGGAGCCCGCGUCGGAUUAGAUUGUUGGUGAGGUAAUGGCUCACCAAGUCGACGAUCCGUAGCUGGUCUGAGAGGAUGAUCAGCCAGACUGGAACUGAGACACGGUCCAGACUCCUACGGGAGGCAGCAGUAAGGAAUCUUCCACAAUGGGCGAAAGCCUGAUGGAGCAACGCCGCGUGCGGGAUGACGGCCUUCGGGUUGUAAACCUCUUUUAGUAGGGAAGAAGCGUAAGUGACGGUACCUGCAGAAAAAGCACCGGCUAACUACGUGCCAGCAGCCGCAGUAACAC
Molecule: ribosomal RNA, 475 nt
Filed under: uncultured bacterium
Lineage: Bacteria
Description: bacterial SSU rRNA
Rfam family: Bacterial small subunit ribosomal RNA
Source: RNAcentral